This 321-nucleotide long non-coding RNA is filed under the name Cotesia glomerata. RNAcentral's name for it is "uncharacterized LOC123270396". The record is from RNAcentral. Lineage: Eukaryota; Metazoa; Arthropoda; Insecta; Hymenoptera; Braconidae.
CCUCACGAUUGGUCUCAUGAAAUUAAAAAACAAAUAAUUGAUUUUGUCGACCAGAUUGAUGGGAUUUAUGUCGUUGGAUGCACUACUAUUGUGAAAAUUUUUUUGAGAGAUUGUCGCAUUCAUGAGGCAAUGGCUUUUAAAGAAUCACAAAGUGAUUCUUAUAGAAUUGCAUAUGAUCAAGCACGAAAUGGAUCAUUCAUCAGGGCUCUUUAUGACACCUUCUUGUUUUUUAAGGAAUUCCGCGACAAUUUAUUCUCUUUAACCGAACAAAAAUUAAAAAGAUUGGCCAAUCAAGAACGAUUAAAAUUUGAAUGGAGAAAA